This 21-nucleotide microRNA is filed under the name Lingula anatina. RNAcentral's name for it is "Lan-Mir-281-P10_5p (mature (co-guide))". The record is from RNAcentral. Lineage: Eukaryota; Metazoa; Brachiopoda; Lingulata; Lingulida; Lingulidae.
AAGAGAGCAUUCUUGGACAGU